RNAcentral lists this transfer RNA (71 nucleotides) under Loxodonta africana (African savanna elephant). It matches the Rfam family "tRNA". Rfam says of the family: Transfer RNA (tRNA) molecules are approximately 80 nucleotides in length. The record is from Rfam by way of RNAcentral. Lineage: Eukaryota; Metazoa; Chordata; Mammalia; Proboscidea; Elephantidae.
GUAUUGGUGGUUCAGUGGCAGAAUUCUCGCUUUCCCUGCUGGAGAUCCUAGUUCAAUUCCUAGCCAAUGCA